RNAcentral lists this ribosomal RNA (957 nucleotides) under uncultured bacterium. RNAcentral describes it as "bacterial SSU rRNA". It matches the Rfam family "Bacterial small subunit ribosomal RNA", at positions 101 to 1029 of the family's 1533-position model. The record is from RNAcentral.
AACGGGUGAGUAACGCGUGGGGAACCUGCCUCCGGGUGGGAGGAUAACACUCCUAACGGGGUGCUAAUACCGCAUGACAUCCUCGGGUCGCAUGGCCUGAGGAUCAACGGUGGCCUCUGCUUGCAAGCUAUCGCCCGGAGAUGGCCCCGCGUCCGAUUAGCUAGUUGGUGAGGUAACGGCUCACCAAGGCGACGAUCGGUAGCUGGUCUGAGAGGAUGGUCAGCCACACUGGGACUGAGAUACGGCCCAGACUCCUACGGGAGGCAGCAGUCGAGAGGCUUCGGCAAUGGGGGAAACCCUGACCGAGCGACGCCGCGUGAGGGAUGACGCCCUUCGGGGUGUAAACCUCUUUUCUGAGGGAAGAAACUCGGGAGGUCGAACAAGCCUCUCGGCUGACGGUACCUUAGGAAUAAGCUCCGGCUAACUACGUGCCAGCAGCCGCGGUAAUACGUAGGGGGCAAGCGUUGCUCGGAUUUACUGGGCGUAAAGGGCGUGUAGGCGGCCAAGCAAGUCAGGUGUGAAAGCCCUCAGCUCAACUGAGGUCCUGCGCCUGAAACUAUUUGGCUUGAGUCUGGAAGAGGAGGGUGGAAUUCCCGGUGUAGCGGUGAAAUGCGUAGAGAUCGGGAGGAACACCAGUGGCGAAGGCGGCCCUCUGGACCAGUACUGACGCUGAGGCGCGAAAGCUAGGGGAGCGAACGGGAUUAGAUACCCCGGUAGUCCUAGCUGUAAACGGUGGGCACUAGGUGUGGAAGGUAUCGACCCCUUGUGUGCCGUAGCUAACGCAUUAAGUGCCCCGCCUGGGGAGUACGACCGCAAGGUUGAAACUCAAAGGAAUUGACGGGGGCCCGCACAAGCGGUGGAGCAUGUGGUUUAAUUCGACGCAACGCGAAGAACCUUACCAAGGCUUGACAUUCCGCGAAUUUCCUCGAAAAGGGGAAAGUGCCUGCGAAGGAGCGC